RNAcentral lists this ribosomal RNA (1361 nucleotides) under uncultured bacterium. Its description in RNAcentral is "bacterial SSU rRNA". It matches the Rfam family "Bacterial small subunit ribosomal RNA", at positions 28 to 1381 of the family's 1533-position model. The record is from RNAcentral.
AUUGAACGCUGGCGGCAGGCCUAACACAUGCAAGUCGAGCGGUAGCACAGAGAGCUUGCUCUCGGGUGACGAGCGGCGGACGGGUGAGUAAUGUCUGGGAAACUGCCUGAUGGAGGGGGAUAACUACUGGAAACGGUAGCUAAUACCGCAUAACGUCGCAAGACCAAAGUGGGGGACCUUCGGGCCUCAUGCCAUCAGAUGUGCCCAGAUGGGAUUAGCUGGUAGGUGGGGUAACGGCUCACCUAGGCGACGAUCCCUAGCUGGUCUGAGAGGAUGACCAGCCACACUGGAACUGAGACACGGUCCAGACUCCUACGGGAGGCAGCAGUGGGGAAUAUUGCACAAUGGGCGCAAGCCUGAUGCAGCCAUGCCGCGUGUGUGAAGAAGGCCUUCGGGUUGUAAAGCACUUUCAGCGGGGAGGAAGGCGGUGAGGUUAAUAACCUCACCGAUUGACGUUACCCGCAGAAGAAGCACCGGCUAACUCCGUGCCAGCAGCCGCGGUAAUACGGAGGGUGCAAGCGUUAAUCGGAAUUACUGGGCGUAAAGCGCACGCAGGCGGUCUGUCAAGUCGGAUGUGAAAUCCCCGGGCUCAACCUGGGAACUGCAUUCGAAACUGGCAGGCUAGAGUCUUGUAGAGGGGGGUAGAAUUCCAGGUGUAGCGGUGAAAUGCGUAGAGAUCUGGAGGAAUACCGGUGGCGAAGGCGGCCCCCUGGACAAAGACUGACGCUCAGGUGCGAAAGCGUGGGGAGCAAACAGGAUUAGAUACCCUGGUAGUCCACGCUGUAAACGAUGUCGAUUUGGAGGUUGUGCCCUUGAGGCGUGGCUUCCGGAGCUAACGCGUUAAAUCGACCGCCUGGGGAGUACGGCCGCAAGGUUAAAACUCAAAUGAAUUGACGGGGGCCCGCACAAGCGGUGGAGCAUGUGGUUUAAUUCGAUGCAACGCGAAGAACCUUACCUGGUCUUGACAUCCACAGAACUUUCCAGAGAUGGAUUGGUGCCUUCGGGAACUGUGAGACAGGUGCUGCAUGGCUGUCGUCAGCUCGUGUUGUGAAAUGUUGGGUUAAGUCCCGCAACGAGCGCAACCCUUAUCCUUUGUUGCCAGCGGUCCGGCCGGGAACUCAAAGGAGACUGCCAGUGAUAAACUGGAGGAAGGUGGGGAUGACGUCAAGUCAUCAUGGCCCUUACGACCAGGGCUACACACGUGCUACAAUGGCAUAUACAAAGAGAAGCGACCUCGCGAGAGUAAGCGGACCUCAUAAAGUAUGUCGUAGUCCGGAUUGGAGUCUGCAACUCGACUCCAUGAAGUCGGAAUCGCUAGUAAUCGUAGAUCAGAAUGCUACGGUGAAUACGUUCCCGGGCCU